RNAcentral lists this ribosomal RNA (252 nucleotides) under uncultured Bacteroidales bacterium. Its description in RNAcentral is "partial 16S ribosomal RNA". It matches the Rfam family "Bacterial small subunit ribosomal RNA", at positions 524 to 776 of the family's 1533-position model. Lineage: Bacteria; Pseudomonadati; Bacteroidota; Bacteroidia; Bacteroidales. The record is from RNAcentral.
UACGGAGGGUGCAAGCGUUAUCCGGAUUUAUUGGGUUUAAAGGGUGCGCAGGCGGCGUGUCAAGCAAGCGGUAAAAUAGCGGGGCUCAACCCCGUCGAGCCGUUUGAACUGGCGCGCUUGAGUUCAGGCGAGGUAGGCGGAAUUCGUGGUGUAGCGGUGAAAUGCAUAGAUAUCACACAGAACACCGAUUGCGAAGGCAUCUGACGAAUCGGAGAUUGACGCUGAUGCACGAGAGCAUGGGUAGCGAACAGG